RNAcentral lists this ribosomal RNA (422 nucleotides) under uncultured prokaryote. RNAcentral's name for it is "bacterial SSU rRNA". It matches the Rfam family "Bacterial small subunit ribosomal RNA", at positions 355 to 774 of the family's 1533-position model. The record is from RNAcentral.
UAAGGAAUAUUGGUCAAUGGGCGGGAGCCUGAACCAGCCAUCUCGCGUGAAGGAAGAAGGCGCUAUGCGUCGUAAACUUCUUUUCCAGGGGGAGAAUUUUCCGGUCGUGACCGGAAUUGACGGUACUCUGGGAAUAAGCAUCGGCUAACUCCGUGCCAGUAGCCGCGGUCAUACGGAGGAUGCGAGCGUUAUCCGGAUUUAUUGGGUUUAAAGGGUGCGUAGGCGGAUCAAUAAGUCAGUGGUGAAAUUCUGCAGCUUAACUGUAGACUUGCCAUUGAUACUGUUGGUCUUGGGUGUGGUCGAGGUAGGCGGAAUUUGUAGUGUAGCGGUGAAAUGCGUAGAGAUGACACAGAACACCGAUUGCGAAGGCAGCUUGCUGGGCCAAUACUGACGCUGAUGCACGAAAGCGUGGGGAUCGAACA